RNAcentral lists this long non-coding RNA (721 nucleotides) under Glycine max (soybean). RNAcentral describes it as "long non-coding RNA (GMAX_LNC000606)". Lineage: Eukaryota; Viridiplantae; Streptophyta; Magnoliopsida; Fabales; Fabaceae. The record is from RNAcentral.
UCUUCUUCAUUUUUCUCUCUUCUCUUUCCUCCUUUCCGAAGUUCUCUGCGGCCAAGAACACCCCCCGGCGCGGCGGCCGCUGGCGGCGCCACCGUGCCGGAGUAGCUCAAGCCCCCUCUUUUUUUUAAAAAAAAAACCUCUCGAACCCUCUUCACUCACUCGUUAUGAAUCUGAGGUUCGUUUUCAAAAAACUCGACGCGGCAAGCCUAGAUCUAAACUCAAAACGGACAGAAUCCUACCCUUUUCUUUCGUGUUUGGCUGGGCUAAAAUGGUUUUGGGCUGGUAACUGGUGAGUUAGGACCGUGUAGUGUAUGGUUCUGGAUUCGUAUUAUUUUGGUUUAUGCCGAUUCGGUUUCCGUGAUCUGUGUGAUGAUUGGGGUACAAAUCGUGUGAUUUGUGGUUAUGGAAUACGAAUUUGUGGUGUUGAAUGUGUUUUGGAUUUUGUUUCUGUUGGUUUUUUUUGUGGUUGAUUUGUACGGAUUUGUGAAAUGGUGGUAGGUGGUGGCCUGAGGGAGGCUGUGUUGGUGGUUUGUGGUGGCUUGGCUAUUCCGGCAUUCUGACUGAUUGGUACUGUAUUCACCUCUGACACGCACAGUAAUUAAUGCAGUAUUUAAAGGACAGAAUUAGGGUAAAUAAAAAACGAAACGCCCCUCUGGGCCUGGACCAAAAAAGACCGAAAAGAAGAAAAAGGAAAAAAAGGAAAGGAAAAAAAAAAUAUAAA